CUUGCGGCGUGCUUAACACAUGCAAGUCGAACGGAAAGGCCCUGCUUUUGUGGGGUGCUCGAGUGGCGAACGGGUGAGUAACACGUGAGUAACCUGCCCUUGACUUUGGGAUAACUUCAGGAAACUGGGGCUAAUACCGGAUAGGAGCUCCUGCUGCAUGGUGGGGGUUGGAAAGUUUCGGCGGUUGGGGAUGGACUCGCGGCUUAUCAGCUUGUUGGUGGGGUAGUGGCUUACCAAGGCUUUGACGGGUAGCCGGCCUGAGAGGGUGACCGGCCACAUUGGGACUGAGAUACGGCCCAGACUCCUACGGGAGGCAGCAGUGGGGAAUAUUGCACAAUGGGCGGAAGCCUGAUGCAGCAACGCCGCGUGCGGGAUGACGGCCUUCGGGUUGUAAACCGCUUUCGCCUGUGACGAAGCGUGAGUGACGGUAAUGGGUAAAGAAGCACCGGCUAACUACGUGCCAGCAGCCGCGGUGAUACGUAGGGUGCGAGCGUUGUCCGGAUUUAUUGGGCGUAAAGGGCUCGUAGGUGGUUGAUCGCGUCGGAAGUGUAAUCUUGGGGCUUAACCCUGAGCGUGCUUUCGAUACGGGUUGACUUGAGGAAGGUAGGGGAGAAUGGAAUUCCUGGUGGAGCGGUGGAAUGCGCAGAUAUCAGGAGGAACACCAGUGGCGAAGGCGGUUCUCUGGGCCUUUCCUGACGCUGAGGAGCGAAAGCGUGGGGAGCGAACAGGCUUAGAUACCCUGGUAGUACACGCUGUAAUCGGUGGGUACUAGGUGUGGGGUCCAUUCCACGGGUUCCGUGCCGUAGCUAACGCUUUAAGUACCCCGCCUGGGGAGUACGGCCGCAAGGCUAAAACUCAAAGGAAUUGACGGGGCCCCGCACAAGCGGCGGAGCAUGCGGAUUAAUUCGAUGCAACGCGUAGAACCUUACCUGGGUUUGACAUGGAUCGGGAGUGCUCAGAGAUGGGUGUGCCUCUUUUGGGGUCGGUUCACAGGUGGUGCAUGGCUGUCGUCAGCUCGUGUCGUGAGAUGUUGGGUUAAGUCCCGCAACGAGCGCAACCCUUGUUCACUGUUGCCAGCACGUUAUGGUGGGGACUCAGUGGAGACCGCCGGGGUCAACUCGGAGGAAGGUGGGGAUGACGUCAAGUCAUCAUGCCCCUUAUGUCCAGGGCUUCACGCAUGCUACAAUGGCUGGUACAGAGAGUGGCGAGCCUGUGAGGGUGAGCGAAUCUCGGAAAGCCGGUCUCAGUUCGGAUUGGGGUCUGCAACUUGACCUCAUGAAGUCGGAGUCGCUAGUAAUCGCAGAUCAGCAACGCUGCGGUGAAUACGUUCCCGGGGCUUGUACACACCGCCCGUCAAGUCAUGAAAGUUGGUAACACCCGAAGCCGGUGGCCUAACCGUUGUGGGGGAGCCGUCGAAGGUGGGACUGGUGAUUAGG
Molecule: ribosomal RNA, 1436 nt
Filed under: uncultured organism
Description: partial small subunit ribosomal RNA
Rfam family: Bacterial small subunit ribosomal RNA
Source: RNAcentral